Non-coding RNA from Phthorimaea operculella (potato tuberworm), 72 nucleotides. The record is from the annotation of a GenBank genome assembly. NCBI's taxonomy places the organism in Eukaryota, Metazoa, Arthropoda, Insecta, Lepidoptera, Gelechiidae.
GCGCCCGUAGGUCAGUCGGUAGAGUGGUGGAACGAUGAUCCACAGUCCCGGGUUCAAGUCCCGGCGGUUGCU